GCUAGGUGUAAUAACACACACCUGUAAUCCUAGUAACUCAGGAGGCUGAGGCAGGAGGAUUGCAAGUUUGAGACUAGGCUUGGCAAUUUGACAAGACUCUGUCUCAA
RNAcentral lists this small RNA (107 nucleotides) under Marmota monax (woodchuck). The record is from RNAcentral. Lineage: Eukaryota; Metazoa; Chordata; Mammalia; Rodentia; Sciuridae.